Molecule: ribosomal RNA, 953 nt
Filed under: Cytobacillus firmus
Lineage: Bacteria; Bacillati; Bacillota; Bacilli; Caryophanales; Bacillaceae
Description: bacterial SSU rRNA
Rfam family: Bacterial small subunit ribosomal RNA
Source: RNAcentral
ACAUGCAAGUCGAGCGGACGGAUGGGAGCUUGCUCCCAGACCGUCAGCGGCGGACGGGUGAGUAACACGUGGGCAACCUGCCUGUAAGACUGGGAUAACUCCGGGAAACCGGGGCUAAUACCGGAUAAUUCUUUCCCUCACAUGAGGGAAAGCUGAAAGAUGGCAUCUCGCUAUCACUUACAGAUGGGCCCGCGGCGCAUUAGCUAGUUGGUGAGGUAACGGCUCACCAAGGCCACGAUGCGUAGCCGACCUGAGAGGGUGAUCGGCCACACUGGGACUGAGACACGGCCCAGACUCCUACGGGAGGCAGCAGUAGGGAAUCUUCCGCAAUGGACGAAAGUCUGACGGAGCAACGCCGCGUGAGUGAUGAAGGUUUUCGGAUCGUAAAACUCUGUUGUCAGGGAAGAACAAGUACCGGAGUAACUGCCGGUACCUUGACGGUACCUGACCAGAAAGCCACGGCUAACUACGUGCCAGCAGCCGCGGUAAUACGUAGGUGGCAAGCGUUGUCCGGAAUUAUUGGGCGUAAAGCGCGCGCAGGCGGUUCCUUAAGUCUGAUGUGAAAGCCCCCGGCUCAACCGGGGAGGGUCAUUGGAAACUGGGGAACUUGAGUGCAGAAGAGAAGAGUGGAAUUCCACGUGUAGCGGUGAAAUGCGUAGAGAUGUGGAGGAACACCAGUGGCGAAGGCGACUCUUUGGUCUGUAACUGACGCUGAGGCGCGAAAGCGUGGGGAGCAAACAGGAUUAGAUACCCUGGUAGUCCACGCCGUAAACGAUGAGUGCUAAGUGUUAGAGGGUUUCCGCCCUUUAGUGCUGCAGCAAACGCAUUAAGCACUCCGCCUGGGGAGUACGGCCGCAAGGCUGAAACUCAAAGGAAUUGACGGGGGCCCGCACAAGCGGUGGAGCAUGUGUUUUAAUUCGAAGCAACGCGAGAACUUACCAGGUCUUGACAUC